Long non-coding RNA from Musa acuminata AAA Group (dessert banana), 562 nucleotides. RefSeq lists it as uncharacterized. Lineage: Eukaryota; Viridiplantae; Streptophyta; Magnoliopsida; Zingiberales; Musaceae. The record is from RefSeq and is a predicted model, not a curated record. The transcript has 4 exons.
GCAACGUCGCCCCCCUUUCACUUCCUCUGGCGGUUGGGUGGCUCCUCUUUCCGGUUGCUCGAGGCGUCUUCUUGCUGCCAUCAAUGCGUACCGCGCCUUGCGUUAUUCGUCUUGCUGCAUCUGUGGUGGUGAUGGUUGGGAUUUGCUUGUGAUAAAUUGCACACAGUGUCUAUAAUAUUGCUCUAGAACCUGAAUCUUUUGGGGGUUUGUUGCUACAUAUGUGAAGAUGCUUAGUUUGUAAAGGAAGAUCAGGAUCUCAGGGCCGUAGGGGAAGUCAAAUGACUUCAUUAUGUUGCUUAUGCAAAUCAUAAAAGUGAAAAGCAAUCCUGAAGAUUAGUAAAGAGAAAAGAGAGACCCAAAUAUUAUUGGUUAUGUGACUACCUUUUUUGAAGCCAUUGGAUAAGCUUUGGUUAAUGCCCAUCUCUACUGAAGGGAUCUUGACAGGAGUAUGUGUGAUGAUAACUAUUCUUCAUCAAAAUCCAUCCUUUUGCCGAUCUCUUGAUGAUGUGCCCUAAGUCCCGCGGAUAAUGGAGAUCGCCCAGGUCAGUAUACUCUACUAAAU